RNAcentral lists this ribosomal RNA (492 nucleotides) under uncultured bacterium. RNAcentral describes it as "partial 16S ribosomal RNA". It matches the Rfam family "Bacterial small subunit ribosomal RNA", at positions 29 to 507 of the family's 1533-position model. The record is from RNAcentral.
AGUGAACGCUGGCGGUAGGCCUAACACAUGCAAGUCGAACGGCAGCACAGUAAGAGCUUGCUCUUACGGGUGGCGAGUGGCGGACGGGUGAGGAAUACAUCGGAAUCUACUUUUUCGUGGGGGAUAACGUAGGGAAACUUACGCUAAUACCGCAUACGACCUACGGGUGAAAGCAGGGGAUCUUCGGACCUUGCGCGAUUGAAUGAGCCGAUGUCGGAUUAGCUAGUUGGCGGGGUAAAGGCCCACCAAGGCGACGAUCCGUAGCUGGUCUGAGAGGAUGAUCAGCCACACUGGAACUGAGACACGGUCCAGACUCCUAUGGGAGGCAGCAGUGGGGAAUAUUCGACAAUGGGCGCGAGCCUGAUCCAGCCAUACCGCGGGGGUGAAGAAGGCCUUCGGGUUGUAAAGCCCUUUUGUUAGGAAAGAAAAGCAGCAGGUUAAUACCCCGCUGUUCUGACGGUACCAAAAGAAUAAGCACCGGCUAACUUCAUG